AGUGAAUAGAUACCCGGGUAGUCCCAGCUGUAAACGAUGCGCGUUAGGUGUAUCGGUGACCACGAGUCACCGAGGUGCCGAAAGAGAAAUCGUGAAACGUGCCGCCUGGGAAGUACGGUCGCAAGGCUGAAACUUAAAGGAAUUGGCGGGGGAGCACCACAACAGGUGGAGCCUGCGGUUUAAUCGGACUCAACGCCGGGAAGCUCACCGGAUAAGACAGCUGAAUGAUAGCCGGGUUUGAAGACUCUGCUUGACUAGCUGAGAGGAGGUGCAUGGCCGUCGUCAGUUCGUACUGUGAAGCAUCCUGUUAAGUCAGGCAACGAGCGAGACCCACGCCAACAGUUGCCAGCAUGUCCUCCGGGAUGGUGGGGACACUGUUGGGGACCGCCUCUGCUAAAGAGGAGGAAGGAAUGGGCAACGGUAGGUCAGCAUGCCCCGAAUUAUCCGGGCUACACGCGGGCUACAAUGGUCAGGACAAU
RNAcentral lists this ribosomal RNA (479 nucleotides) under uncultured bacterium. RNAcentral describes it as "bacterial SSU rRNA". It matches the Rfam family "Archaeal small subunit ribosomal RNA", at positions 725 to 1199 of the family's 1478-position model. The record is from RNAcentral.